AGCUUUGUGCAGUGUCAGCAUCGUAGCCAAUGAGAUUUAGCUAAGGCAUGAUUAUUGCUAACUGAAAAAAAAGUGAACAAAGCUGGGUGUGGUGGUGCAUACCUUUAAUCCCAGCACUUAGGAGGCAAAGGUAGGAGGAUCACUAUAAAU
This 150-nucleotide small nuclear RNA is filed under the name Jaculus jaculus (lesser Egyptian jerboa). Its description in RNAcentral is "U4 spliceosomal RNA (ENSJJAG00000002399.1)". The stretch from base 1 to 74 matches the Rfam family "U4 spliceosomal RNA". The record is from RNAcentral. Lineage: Eukaryota; Metazoa; Chordata; Mammalia; Rodentia; Dipodidae.